Long non-coding RNA from Daktulosphaira vitifoliae (grape phylloxera), 4616 nucleotides. RefSeq lists it as uncharacterized. The record is from RefSeq and is a predicted model, not a curated record. Lineage: Eukaryota; Metazoa; Arthropoda; Insecta; Hemiptera; Phylloxeridae. The transcript is spliced from 3 exons.
ACCUUAUGACACCUUUAUCAGCCGUCACCCGAUUUUAUGAGUAUUUAACUGACCAACACCGCGUGCCAUACGCCGAGGUGCAAAGUCCAGCAAGUGCCACAUGGCCGACGACGACCCUCCGCAAAAGAUCCGUCAAGUCUUCUUCCCGUCGUCAAAGUGACAACGUCGAGGAUGUACACCACCGGCUUCGGACGUGGCGCAUGACCGGACUCGACGAACCGAUCCGCACUCGACUUCAACGCUGCUAACUUUUAGACGGCCGAGGAUAAUGCCGGACACCGAGUCGCCAACACUAGUAAAAGUGCCACAAUAUUAUGCGAAGUAUAUUAUUAACUGCGUUCGUCUUUUCGGGUUGUUUUUUUUUCAAUAAUCUGUAGUUACUUAUUUAUAAACGGCCCACGAGUCUCUACUACCCUCAACACGAUUAUGUUUUGCUUGUGGAAAUAAAAUACCCAAAAAUAAAGAUAUAUAUGAAAGAUUAUGUUGUCAAAAGAAAUUCUGUACUAUAUGUUAUCAAUUGAUUAAAAACAAUGAAAAUUGCUUAGGAUGUAACAUAACAGGUUCUAAAUAUCAUUUAAUCUCUAAAAAUAAAUUCGAAAAUCCUAGAAAGACAAAUGAAUAAUAUAAAUAAAAAUAAAAAUUUUCAACAUAUUUAGAAGUCAAAAAUUAGUUAAAUAAUAUGUAAAAUAAACUUUUAAUUUCAUUAUUAAACUUUUUGCAAAUAAUAAUAGCUCUGUUAAAAAAUGUAUAUUAAAAGCAUAUUUUUUUAAUGAGUCUUAUCCCAAAGAGUUAAUUUUAUUAAAAAAGGUAAUGACCAGUACGUACAGUGUAUUAAGGUAUGUAAUUAUUAUGUCAAUAAUUACAUUGGAUCAAGUAUAAUGAUAUCUGAUAGUGAUUAAAAUCACUAUCAAAAAAACGCUUCGAUGCAAAUCUUUAGAUAGUGUUUAAUUUUAAAAAAUUGGUGGAUUAUACCAAAAGCAACAUGAUCUGCUAGUUCGUUAUUAAUAUCCUGAUUCAGAUAAAGUAUGUCGAAUAAAAAAGGGAUUAUUACAAAAUAUUAUUUCUCAUAAAAAAAUUAUGUUGAUCCAUACACUUUUCAAUAAUUUAUAACAUCAUUAUAAAGUUAAAAAUGUAAAAAAUAAAAUCAAGAAUUUUCCCACAAUAAUAGCAUUCGGUAGCUAUUUUUACCGUGAAGACAAAAUAAAGUCCGAAAUUUUUUUUUUUGAAUAAUAAAGUAUAUUACAUUAGCUUUAAUUUAAAAUAUAUAUUUAAAGGUGUCAGACUUUCCGGAACACUUUCAAAAUUUAAGUUGAAAAACUUCUACUUUCUAUAUGCAUUUUUUAGAUUCGUAAUUAUAUAUACGAGGGGGGUAUAUAGGGAAAUGGUCCGAUUUAAAAAAUAGUAUGUCAAAUGAAAGAUGUAUAUAAAUACUACUCUUCAUGAAAAAUUUGUAUUGAUCCAUACAUUUUUCAAAAAGUUAUAGCAUAAUAAAGUUAAAAAUGUAAAAUACAAAAUCGAAAAUUUUCACACAGAAAUAGCAUUCGGUAGCCAUUUUCACCGUGAACAUAAAAUAAAAUCCGAAAUUUUUUUUUUUUUCAUAAUAAAGAACAUUACAUUAGCUUUAAUUUAAGAUAUGUAUUAAAGUGUCUGACCUUCCGGAACAUUUUCAAAAGUUAAGUUAAAAAAUUUAAUUUUUUGUGAAAAAGUUGUCAUUUUAAAUCCCCUCUUGUGGGCAGGUUAAGGUUUAAAUUUAUGAAAAAAAUAAACCAAAUGAAAGGUAAUGAUAUUAUGCAUCUAUAUAAAAAAUAAUUACAUUAAUAUGUUUAUUUUUAAAAAAGUUAUGGCACUUAUAAGUAAAAAAAAUUGAAAAAAUUUCGAAAAUUAGCGAUUUUUAAAUUCAUACUUUUUUUGGAGGUUUCCUCCAUUUUCGGGGAACGAGGUAAUUUUUUUUAAUUUUUAAGGGUAAUGUCUUCGACUAGGUACAGUUUGUGAUCUUUUGACGUAUCAUUGAAAGAAAUCGGUUCGGUGAGAGCUAAGAAAAGUGGUAACAGACACACAAAAAAAAAAAAUAAUAAAAAAAAUAAACACAUCUUAGUAAAAUCAAUACUUUCUCAGCUUCGCAUCGAAUCUAAAAUAAAUUGUAUUAUAAAUAUUUUUCUUAACAUUGACGCAACUUUUAUUACAACAAUAAUAGAUUAAAGUGACAUGUCAUGCAUGCAACUAGAAAUGGUUUAUUUAUGCAAUAGUUAUAAAUAUUUAUAAGAAAAAUACUUUAGAACCCUACCAAUAUUUUAUAUACAAUAAAAUUUAAAUACUAUGACAAAAAGGAACUACAAAAUGGUUGUAAUUGGGCCAAGAAUAUUCGAUUCGAUUUUUAACUUUAACAGAUUUCAAACCGAUAUUCUGAUAUAAUUUUUCGAUUUAUUUCCAAACUUAAAACUUAAUAAAAUGAGCUUCGAAUUCAAAGUAGUUUGGUUUGAUUUUGAGUUAAGCCUUGUAUGAUGUUUUUAUUAAACAUCAUAAAUUUUAAUUUGUCACAUCACAACUAAAACUAAAACUACUAGGGUGACCGUUAAUUAUAUAUAUUUUUAAUUUAACAUUUUUUUCUACCAUUUAAUAUUCAUAAGAUACAUAGAAUAAUUUUUAAAAUUAUAGAAAAAAAAUUCAGACUUGCAUAUUAAUGAAAUACUAAGAACUACUUUACAAAUAAAAAAACCUAUGAAAAUAUAAACUAGAUAUUCAAAAAUUUUCCCGAUUUUAGAAAUCUUGACAUUAUACACUUUUACUGCAAUUAGGAAAACAACGCCGAUAUUCUGUAACAAUCUGUAGUAAGUAUUGUUUUUGUGCUUCAUCUUUUGUUAAAAUAUUAUUAUAUUCAUAGAUGAACUUCACACUACUCUCUGUCAAAUCAUUUACAACUUUUAAUUUUUUUUUCCUUCCCUAUAUUGAUUGUUUCCUUUCUAUAACAAAGGAUCUAAAUCUAAAAAAUCAGUUUCAAUAUCAAAUCUUUCAACAAAUUUGUUUGAUUCCGUUGAAAUAAAUUCUUCAAUAUUUUUAAUUUUGUAUUCUGUAAUAAUCAAAAAGAAAGAGGGAGGUUGGAAAAGAAAGGGUAGCGGGUAGUAUAAUGGGAAAGGAAAAAAUUUGUCUGUUAUAGUUGUUUGGUAUAAAGAGAGUAAAAGUGGCUAGAGUUAUUAGGUAGUGACUAUAAUAGAAUGUGUUGAAUGUCGUUGGUGAAUUCGGAUAUGAAUGUCAACUGGUUGAGUUGCGUAGGAGGUAUCUUUUCUCUCCGUUGGGUGAAAGCAUAUACGAGUGGCUUAUGAUCGGUAGUCAACCUGUGAGAACCAUAAGCUCGGUCUUUCGGACCAGAAAGGUGGCAACUUGACGGCAACGCGAUUCACUGAAGCUGUUGGAUAUUGCUGUGCCUGUAGUGCUGCAAGGCGAGCGUUUUCUUGGCGUAACUCAUCCAAUUGAUUGCGUAGUUCUUCGGCGUUCAUACUUGUUAUCGUCGAGGUCACCAAUGUAGCGAGGUGUAAUAUAUAGAAGUAAUAAACACUUUUACGAUUUAAUAACAACUAUACUAUAUUACAACGAACUAACAAAUAACAAAUAACAGCGAGAGACGAACUGUAUUACAACGAACUAAUAAAUAACAGCGAGAAACGAAGCGCGUGUAAGACAGAAUGCGUAAGUGAUUGACUGAUCGACUCAUCGACUCGUAAAUCAGCAUAUCAUCCACCAGCCAAUGGUUUAGUUGAACGAUUCCACCGAUCACUUAAAACGGCAAUAAAGUGUUACGAAACUGAGCACUGGACAGAUGUACUCCCCUCAGUUCUUAUGGGCCUUAGAUCAGUGAUUAAAGAAGAUCUAGGUUUAACACCCGCAGAAAUGGUAUUUGGAAGUACGAUUAGAUUACCUAAUGAGUUUUUUAUGCAGUCAUCAGUGGCGACAGACCCUUGUUCCUUUGCUGAAACACUAAAGAAAACAAUGGAAACCAUACGCCCAGUGUCAACUUCAAACCACGGAAGUAAAAAAGUUUUUAUAUAUAAAGAUCUAGCAUCCUGUUCACACGUUUUCGUUCGGGUCGACCGGGUCAAGAAACCGCUAGAACAACCAUAUGAAGGGCCGUACAAAAUUGUUCAACGAUACGAAAAAACCUUUAAAUUAUUAAUUAGGCAAAAAGAAUGUAUCAUAUCAAUAGACAGACUGAAGCCAUGUUUCAACGAAAAUGAAGAUAAUAACACAAAUCUAUCAAUAACAACGAACCAGCAAAACCAGAGAAAUACAACUACAAGACCAACAAUAAUACAAACAAAACAAACCAAGUCAGGAAGAACCAUCCGCCUCCCCGUAAGGUUUUUGUAAAUUGUGAAUUGUAUCACUUUUAUAUUUGUAUUUGUAUUUUUAUAUUUGAUAUUUGUAACUAUGUAUGUUUAACGUAAAAUUAUCGUUUUCACUGGAAAGGGGGUAAUGUAGGGAUUAACAAAGAUGUUAAAUAACAUGUCACAAUGAAUGCGUUUAUAUAUGUUUAUAUGUUUUAUCUUAGAUGUACUGCAGUACGAUAACACUCCGUGUAUUUUUUUUAUUCUCGCGCUGUUCGUCAAUCCAGUGACACUUUU